UUGUUUCAUAGGUUUGAUUCAGACUCAAACGACAUGGACAGGGACUCGACGUCAAAAGACGUCGAAGCAAGUUUUGCUCCACAAGUUUUCGGGCGCCAUGAGCGCCCUGUUAGAUCCAGAUCGAGAUGCCGUGGGCGCCCCUUUCGAUAUUGAUCCCUCCGCAGGUUCACCUACGGAGA
Molecule: unclassified non-coding RNA, 179 nt
Filed under: uncultured fungus
Lineage: Eukaryota; Fungi
Description: sequence contains ITS1
Source: RNAcentral